UAGUCGAUGGAUGAAAUGUUAAUAUUCAUUUACUUGGUAUAUUGGUGACGGAGUGACGGAGAAGGUUAAUAUGAGCCCAUUAUCGGAUUUGGGUGAAAGUACAAAGUCUUAAAAGCAGGUAAAUCCACUUUUUUCAAGGACAAUGUGCGAGACGAAUGAAAACUUCGGUUAGUAAACAAGUCAUAUACAUCACGCUUCCUAGAAAAACUUCUAAACUUAACAAUAUAUCAAUCUGUACCGAGAACGAACACACGUGUUCAAGUUGAAUAAACUAUGGCUAGCGAGUUAAUUAUCGUUAAGGAACUCUGCAAAUUGACCCCGUACGUUAGCAAUAAGGGGAGCUCAUCGCAAGAUGAGUCACAGAAAAUAGCGAGAAGGGACUGUUUAUCAAAAACACAGCUUUAUGCCAAAUCGUAAGAUGAUGUAUAUGAGGCGACACCUGCCCAGUGCUGGAAGGUUAAGGAAGCGAGUGCAAGCUUGUGACCGAAGCCCCAGUGAACGGCGGCCGUAACUAUAACGGUCCUAAGGUAGCAAAAUUCCUUGUCGGGUAAAUUCCGUCCCGCUUGAAAGGUGCAACCACUUCUUGACUGUCUCGACGAUACACUCGGUGAAAUCCUGGUAGGAGUGAAGACGCUCCUUUGGCGUGGUGGGACGGAAAGACCCCAUGAAGCUUUACUGUAACUUAGCAUUGUCUGAUUAAUUGAUAUUUAAAGCAUAGGUAGGAGACUUUGAUAUAACGCCGCUAGGUGUUAUGGAGUCAACAAGUGUAAUACUACCAUUAUUAAUUGAUUAGACUCACCCGCCGGUGUCAUCCACCGGGGGAACAGUGUUAGGCGGACAGUUUGACUGGGGCGGUCGCCUCCCAAAAUGUAACGGAGGCGCGCAAAGGUACAUUCAGUAUGGUUGGAAAUCAUAUAGCGAGCGUAAUGGUAUAAAGUGUGCUUGACUGCGAGACGUACAUGUCGAGCAGGUAAGAAAUUAGGUCAUAGUGAUCCGGUGGUUCCGAAUGGAAGGGCCAUCGCUCAUCGGAUAAAAGUUACUCUGGGGAUAACAGGCUGAUACUGUCCAAGAGUUCAUAUCGACGACAGUGUUUGGCACCUCGAUGUCGACUCAUCUUAUCCUGGAGCUGUAGCAGGUUCCAAGGGUUCGGCUGUUCGCCGAUUAAAAAGAUACGUGAGUUGGGUUCAAACCGUUGUGAAACAGGUUGGUCCCUAUCUGCCAUGCCCGCAGAAAAAUUGAGAAGAGUUGCUCCUAGUACGAGAGGAUCGGAGUGAAGUUACCUCUAAUGUUCCAGUUGUCCCGCCAGGGGCAGUGCUGGGUAGUUACGUAGCGAACGGAUAAGCGCUGAAAGCAUAUAAGCGCGAAGCCUCCUUCAAGAUAAAUUUUUCCUUCCCGCAAGGGAAAUAAGAAUCGUCAUAGACUAUGACGUUGAUAGGAUACAUGUGUAAGUACCGCAAGGUAUUUAGCUGAGUAUUACUAAUAAUUCGAAAGACUUAUGA
Molecule: ribosomal RNA, 1499 nt
Filed under: termite gut metagenome
Description: bacterial LSU rRNA
Rfam family: Bacterial large subunit ribosomal RNA
Source: RNAcentral